UUGUUAUUUAAUAAAUAUUAUAACUUUCAUUUUUAUUGAUUCGUAAUGUGAUCUGUACUGUACUGCUUACUUAUUCUUUGAUAUUGCACCUAGAUAAUUCUGCUAUCCUUAAUUUUUACAUGGAAUUACAGAGAUUCUGGGAGGACAAGAGAUGUUUCUAGAGACACAGAGUAAUUGUAGAAUGACAGAAUAUGGCAUGCCCGAAGACUCCUCUUCAGUUCAAAUGGUGCUUCUGCCAUUUGGAAGACGUUUUGCACAUUCCUGGCACACUCGCUCAGGUGAGAGGCGUCAAAACUCCAGCCACCAUGAAAGAUCAGGGGCCAAAAAUUGAACAUUUCUGAAUUCUGUAAUUAAUGAGCCUAGAUUUUUACUGCUGAUCUCACACGCUUUGUCACUCUCUUUGAAGUCCAAGUCAUUUCACUGCUCUGUACUUGGAAUCCAUCGUCAAUGAAGUAAACCAAACGUGCAUCACAGUACAUCUGGACGUGGUGUUAAGUACAUUGCAUCAUCGAGAAGCUUAGGAACAGCGAACGCUGGAUGCGACUGUGGCUCAGCUGACUUACGUUCGAAAGGGUAUUAUCACAUAGGAGAAUGAAAACAGCAUAUCUGCUAAGAAGAACCGGAGGAGCCUGAACCUAAAAUCUGCCCUGACCUCGUUGCUUACAGUUUCAUUUAUCCUCAUCUAAGUGUGUAACCAUAAGGCCCUUAUUACCACUGAUUUUGUAUCGAUUUGUCAUAUGCCAAUGCUCACUUGCAACGUACUUGACAUUUGACUGUCAUAAAGAAUGGGGAUUGGCAGGCUUGUGUCAACUCCGCUCUUAACCAAACCGCUGUGUAAUUGAACAGGAAAGCAGUGCUAACAGUACGCAUUUGAUUCCAGUUCAUGUGCCCAGCGGGCUAACAUUUUAGAGUGCCCAUCCUUUACAUCCUAAUGCAUGUCAAAUAGUAUGUAAAUACCAGCAAAUCUGAGGAGAUCUGCAAUGUCUAUAUGUGCCCUAUGCUAAUGAGCACUAUCCCAGGGAACUGGAGGAUUUCCUUUCCCUCUGAACUGUGAAUCAGAGGAUGCUUUUGGCAAGCAGAUUAAUUUAGGAAGCUGCUGGGAGACUGAGCUGUUAAUAGAUGUGAAGCGGUUAGCCCUGGGCCUUGAAUUGUGUAACAGGGAUGAUGAAUAGUACUAAAUAACCACUAAUUCCUUUCACA
Vicugna pacos (alpaca) is the source of this 1200-nucleotide non-coding RNA. The record is from RefSeq and is a predicted model, not a curated record. NCBI's taxonomy places the organism in Eukaryota, Metazoa, Chordata, Mammalia, Artiodactyla, Camelidae.